RNAcentral lists this transfer RNA (73 nucleotides) under Paravannella minima. RNAcentral describes it as "tRNA-Pro". It matches the Rfam family "tRNA". Rfam says of the family: Transfer RNA (tRNA) molecules are approximately 80 nucleotides in length. Their secondary structure includes four short double-helical elements and three loops (D, anti-codon, and T loops). Further hydrogen bonds mediate the characteristic L-shaped molecular structure. tRNAs have two regions of fundamental functional importance: the anti-codon, which is responsible for specific mRNA codon recognition, and the 3' end, to which the tRNAs corresponding amino acid is attached (by aminoacyl-tRNA synthetases). tRNAs cope with the degeneracy of the genetic code in two manners: having more than one tRNA (with a specific anti-codon) for a particular amino acid; and 'wobble' base-pairing, i.e. permitting non-standard base-pairing at the 3rd anti-codon position. Lineage: Eukaryota; Discosea; Flabellinia; Vannellidae. The record is from RNAcentral.
CAGAGUGUAGCAAAAUAGGCAUUGUAUCUGAUUUGGGAUCAGAAGAUUAUGGGUUCGAGUCCCAUCGCUCUGA